UACGUAGGGGGCUAGCGUUGUCCGGAAUCAUUGGGCGUAAAGCGCGUGUAGGCGGCCCGGUAAGUCCGCUGUGAAAGUCGGGGGCUCAACCCUCGGAUGCCGGUGGAUACUGUCGGGCUGGAGUGCGGAAGAGGCGAGUGGAAUUCCUGGUGUAGCGGUGAAAUGCGCAGAUAUCAGGAGGAACACCUAUUGCGAAGGCAGCUCGCUGGGACGUUACUGACGCUGAGACGCGAAAGCGUGGGGAGCAAACAGG
Molecule: ribosomal RNA, 253 nt
Filed under: uncultured bacterium
Lineage: Bacteria
Description: partial 16S ribosomal RNA
Rfam family: Bacterial small subunit ribosomal RNA
Source: RNAcentral